GCGCUCAUAGCUCAACUGGAUAGAGCAACUGCCUUCUAAGUAGUAGGUUGCAGGUUCGAGCCCUGCUGGGCGCGCCA
This 77-nucleotide transfer RNA is filed under the name Candidatus Wirthbacteria bacterium CG2_30_54_11. RNAcentral's name for it is "tRNA-Arg". It matches the Rfam family "tRNA". From Rfam's summary of the family: Transfer RNA (tRNA) molecules are approximately 80 nucleotides in length. Their secondary structure includes four short double-helical elements and three loops (D, anti-codon, and T loops). The record is from RNAcentral. Lineage: Bacteria; Candidatus Wirthbacteria.